Non-coding RNA from Microcebus murinus (gray mouse lemur), 1521 nucleotides. The record is from RefSeq and is a predicted model, not a curated record. Lineage: Eukaryota; Metazoa; Chordata; Mammalia; Primates; Cheirogaleidae.
CAAAGACUGAAUAACCACUUCCGGGUGCCAGCGGAAGUGGAGACGCUGGAGAUCCGGCGGCCGUUCCCGGGGGCACCCACAGACCAGCAGACGGGCGGUGGCUGUUUGAUGAGAUCGGGGUGCUGUGAGCCAGGUGCGCAGAGCUUGGGGAGAAAACAGGCAAGGCAAGCUGGAGCCUGCCCGGACUGGGGAGGCCAGAAACUCAAUGCCUGAUCAUUAGUGAGAAGAUUCCAAUUCCAGUGAAACCACGUAAGGGCCCGCACUCGACAGACCGUCUGCCUGUGUGACCCAGCCACUGAGUUCCUGGGCCUGAAGGAAGAAUGCAUUUUUGUCCUUCCUUCAGGUAGAUAAUUCACCUCCUUGAAAUACAUCAUCCCAGUGGAAAAGUCAUCUUUGAAUGGAAUCACUUGUGACAUCUCUGUUUGGCCACAGUGCUUCUACAGUGCUACUAUUCAUCCUUAAUGCAAAAAUUCUUAUCAUGUUCUUGGGCCUGCCCUCGGUGAUAACAUUUUGAAGAAGACUAGGCCAGAGCUUCAUUAGCUGAGACAUUUACAAGUAUGUAAUGGGGUUGGAUCUUCAAGACGCACUCUUGCGUCAAGCUGGGUACCCCCAAAGGUACCGUGUCUGGGAGCCCCCCGGGGUUAUUUCACACACUUGGUAUAAUAUGACUAUGAGUGUCCCAGGGCACUCUCCUCUCACACAGAUCACCAUAGCUCUCAAGAUCCUGGCUCCCCUUUCUCCUCUUGUCGGUUAAAAGAAGAAACCCAUUCUAAAGGAGAACAGAGGUUUCCCAUUUUAUUGUCACAGAGUGAAACAGAAGGAAAUGACACCAAAGUGGAGAAGGAGGCCGAGACUGGAGUGAUGUGGACGCAAGUCAAGGAACACCUGGAAGGUGGAAGAGGCAGAACAGAGAGAAUGCCCCAGAGCAUCCAGAGGAGCUCAGCCCUGCUGACACCUCAGUUUCAGACUUCUGGCCCCGAGAACUGAGACAGAACGCUUUUCUGUCAUUUUGAGCCACCGAGUUUGUGGUCAUGGUACAGCAGCCCUAGAAAACUAACAUGAGGGCUUUGAAACUCAACUCCAUUGCUCUUUGUGAUAAACUGGACAAGCCUGUACUGUGACAUCAGGACUGCAGCAGCCUUAGAAAGGAGAUUUAAAAAACCAAAGGCCUCAGACCCCAGCCCACCCACCCUGCCUUCCUCCCAACCCAACCCAACCCAACCAAGCUAAAAACCCUUGGCCUCUCUGAGAGCGAUCAUCCCAAAUUGUGGCAUAAGCAGCAGUUCCAGGGCACCUAAAGGAAACAAAGGAUCUGUGGAGGUAUUUGACAUAAUCUAACGUUCUUCUGCACAAGCACAGGGAGAGCUGGAGAAGGCAGCUACCACAAGCAGAAAGAGGACUGAUUGACUGAUUCCUUCUAGGCAAUUUCUGGAGCAACUGCUGCAUGGAUUAUACAUCCUUCUGCCUCGAGGGAGUGAUGAGUCCUUCCUAGUUUACAGUCAUUCAAACAAGGCAAGGCCA